CCUACGGGAGGCAGCAGUGAGGAAUAUUGGUCAAUGGACGAGAGUCUGAACCAGCCAAGUAGCGUGAAGGAUGACUGCCCUAUGGGUUGUAAACUUCUUUUAUAUGGGAAUAAAAUGUUCCACGUGUGGGAUUUUGUAUGUACCAUAUGAAUAAGGAUCGGCUAACUCCGUGCCAGCAGCCGCGGUAAUACGGAGGAUCCGAGCGUUAUCCGGAUUUUUUGGGUUUAAAGGGAGCGUAGGUGGAUUGUUAAGUCAGUUGUGAAAGUUUGCGGCUCAACCGUAAAAUUGCAGUUGAAACUGGCAGUCUUGAGUACAGUAGAGGUAGGCGGAAUUCGUGGUGUAGCGGUGAAAUGCUUAGAUAUCACGAAGAACUCCGAUUGCGAAGGCAGCUCACUGGACUGCAACUGACACUGAGGCUCGAAAGUGUGGGUAUCAAACAGGAUUAGAUACCCGAGUAGUC
RNAcentral lists this ribosomal RNA (460 nucleotides) under uncultured bacterium. RNAcentral's name for it is "partial 16S ribosomal RNA". It matches the Rfam family "Bacterial small subunit ribosomal RNA", at positions 338 to 795 of the family's 1533-position model. The record is from RNAcentral.